RNAcentral lists this ribosomal RNA (253 nucleotides) under uncultured bacterium. Its description in RNAcentral is "partial 16S ribosomal RNA". It matches the Rfam family "Bacterial small subunit ribosomal RNA", at positions 524 to 776 of the family's 1533-position model. The record is from RNAcentral.
UACGGGGGGGGCAAGCGUUGUUCGGAAUUACUGGGCGUAAAGGGCUCGUAGGCGGCCAACUAAGUCGGAUGUGAAAUCCCCAGGCUUAACCUGGGAACUGCAUCCGAUACUGGAUGGCUUGAAUCCGGGAGAGGGAUGCAGAAUUCCAGGUGUAGCGGUGAAAUGCGUAGAUAUCUGGAGGAAUACCGGUGGCGAAGGCGGGUCUCUGGACAGUUCCUGACGCUGAGGCACGAAGGUCAGGGGAGCAAACGGG